Ochotona curzoniae (black-lipped pika) is the source of this 431-nucleotide long non-coding RNA. RefSeq lists it as uncharacterized. The record is from RefSeq and is a predicted model, not a curated record. Lineage: Eukaryota; Metazoa; Chordata; Mammalia; Lagomorpha; Ochotonidae. The transcript has 2 exons.
AGUACCUGGAGUCAGCCUCCCUGCGCCUCCCAAGAAACAUCCGCUUCCUGAGUCCAAGAACAGUGUCCACUCCCUUGGCUUGUGAGGAGUGUCUACACGGCCCCUGUCCACUCCCCUCAGCCUGAGAGAGCAUGUAGACGACCCACUGUCCACUCCCUCGGCUGUGAGGAGCGUGUACACGACCCACUGUCCACUCCCUCGGCUGUGAGGAGCGUGUACAUGACCCACUGUCCACUCCCUCGACUGUGAGGAGCGUGUACACGACCCACUGUCCACUCUCUCGGCCCGUGAGGAACGUCUACACGGCUCACCCACUGUCUGUUCCUUCAGCCUGUGGGGAGCGUUUACAAGGCCAGCUAUCCGCUCCCUCAGCCUGUGGGCACAGCAGAUAAGACUCGGUUGGGACACCCUAUUCUGUGUGCCUGGUGUGA